Xiphophorus couchianus (Monterrey platyfish) is the source of this 1855-nucleotide long non-coding RNA. RefSeq lists it as uncharacterized. The transcript has 5 exons. The record is from RefSeq and is a predicted model, not a curated record. NCBI's taxonomy places the organism in Eukaryota, Metazoa, Chordata, Actinopteri, Cyprinodontiformes, Poeciliidae.
AUAUAUUUCAGCUGCCUGAAAUAAUCUGUUCCCCUCCAUAACAUGGGAAAAAAUAAGCAAACCCUGUGAAUUUUGAAACUGUUGGUCAUUAUUUGUCUAUAUAUCGUUUGAAGCAAUUAAUUAUUUGAUAUUUUGAAAUCUAAGAUGGUUAUAAUAAAUAUUACUGUUGAUUUGAUUAUCUUUAUGUAAUGUAUGCUCUGUUUAAAUGUGUAUCUUCCAAGUUACAAAUAUGUUGCAGAUUUUACAUCUAACAAUGCACCUUACAAUAUAAACACAUACGGUGUUUUCUAGAAAGUCAAAAAUCACGUGGUGCUGUUGCUCCAAUCAAUUAUGCAAAUGUGCAGGUGUUGGGCAGAUUGUUCGUCACGUUUUGCUUUAAGUUAAGCCAACUAUUUGAUUAAGUCGACACUUUUCUUAAAUAUGGACAGUGUUGAAUAUGAAACGCUCUUUAACUAUAAAGUUAAAGGCGAAUAUCCACCGCAGUCAACGAAGGAAAGAAAAUAUGUCAUUCGAAGGAAAGCCUCGUCGUACAAGAUUGAAGGUAAUUAUCUUUAUCUUCCAGAUUGAUGCAUUGACGGUAACCUCUACUUUAAUAUGUAGCAAAUAGUGGAAUGCAUAAGUUAUCUAAAAACAGUUAGAUAACAUUCAAUGUUUUUUUGUUAUUGAUUUACUGCUGCAUUUAAUUUCGAUUAAUAUGUGUGCACACACGAACGUUACUCCACGUUAUAAUGCAGGAAUAACGCACAAUGUUCCUGACUGCAGAUGUUAUUCAUGUGAAUUACACUUGUACUCCAGUUCUAUUUCUAAGUUGUGUUGUAAAAAGAUUCCCGUAUUUCUACAUUCAUCAAUAAAAGAAACAAAAUCUAGCAAAGUGGACAAUUGUGAAUAAAAACCAUUACGUCAACAAAUUCACAGACAUUACUCCUUCAAAUGAGCACUGUUUAUUUUUUUCUCCAAAAGUAAAAUUUUAAAAUAAAUAUGCAUUUGAUAAUGUCUUUCUUCCUGUUCUGUUUAUUGCAUGCUUCUUGUUUCAGCCUCUAUGUAUAACUCAGUAGUAGUAUACAUUUGCAUAUUUGUAGAAUUAUAAAUGUAUUUUAAUAAUAGAAUUUCAUGCUUCGGUCAUAUUUUUAUUGGUGUCCUUUAUCUUUUCCAAGGAAAUGACCUGUUCUAUGUUAAACACAAAGGCAGUUUGUGCUCAACAAAGGUCAAAGUUGUUAAAGGUGCUGAGGAAGCCGAAAGAAUAUUUGUUGACUUCCAUGCCAGCCCUACAGGUGCACAUUGUGGACAAACAAAAACAACAGAUGCCAUCUCAAGGAGAUUUUAUUGGCCAGGAAUGUCUGUGGACAUCAAGAAAUGGGUCUCUGAGUGCUCAUCCUGUCAGGCCAGUGCCCCAGCACUGAAACAGCCAUCAGUGUAUACUCCCAUAAAGGUUACCCAUCCCUUUGAAUUAAUUGGGAUGGACCUCAUUGGAAAACUGGCCGAAACAAAAUCUGGACACAAGUAUAUUUGUGUCAUGAUUGACUAUUUUACGAAGUGGCCACAGGCAUAUCCACUAAAGAGUAAAUCAGCACCUGAAGUUACGGAAUGCAUAAUUAAGUUUGUGCAUCAGUUUGAAGCCCCCAAAAGGAUUUUGACAGACCAAGGACGAGAAUUUGUAAAUUCUAUAAACCAAGAAGUGUGCAAAAUUCUCAAUAUCAAACGAAGUCUGUGUUCCCCAUACCAUCCCCAAACAAAUGGGUUGGUUGAAAAAAUGAAUGGGACCAUUCAAAGAGCUCUGAGUAAGGUUGUGGAUGGCCAUCCACACACCUGGGAUGAGUAUUUGGAUGCUGUGAUGUUUGGGAUACGCACCAAAAAA